Molecule: unclassified non-coding RNA, 491 nt
Filed under: uncultured Bartonella sp.
Lineage: Bacteria; Pseudomonadati; Pseudomonadota; Alphaproteobacteria; Hyphomicrobiales; Bartonellaceae
Description: partial 16S-23S ribosomal RNA intergenic spacer
Rfam family: tRNA (bases 131-204)
Source: RNAcentral
UGAUGAUCCCAAGCCUUCUGGCGAUCUCUUAUAAAGAAAGCCCUCCAUAAUAAAUUGAAAAGGGUCCUUUGGGGAAAAGUUUUCCCUUUGAUAAGAUGAAGCCGGGGAAGGUUUUCCGGUUUAUCCCGGAGGGCUUGUAGCUCAGUUGGUUAGAGCGCGCGCUUGAUAAGCGUGAGGUCGGAGGUUCAAGUCCUCCCAGGCCCACCAAUCAUUCUAUCAAUCUAUAAGCGCUUGUGGAAAUUGCUCAUAGAAAACUUUCUUUAUUCAUUUAUGAAAAAUCUCCUUAUAGAGAGAGACGCUUUUCCCUUUUGGUUUGAAAACUCAAAAUUAAAGGUGUUAAAGUUGCUUUAAAGGAAAAGUGACAAAGAAUAAGGAAUAACGAUUUAAGUUAUCCCUUUUUGGUGAUCUUGAUUUGGGUGUUUUGAAUGCGUUAUGUUUUUUAGGGGGGCCGUAGCUCAGCUGGGAGAGCACCUGCUUUGCAAGCAGGGGGU